AUAUAUAUAUAUAUAUAUCUUGCCGACUUGCCUCUUUACGUUCCUUUAUUCUCCCAAUGAAUAUCCUUUCGUUUCCCAACAUGGUUUUUUCUCAAAACUUGCUUUUGAUCAUCACAGCUUCAGUGGCGGCGCUUGUUGGUGUUGCUGCAGCUUGCUCAAAUGGAGAAUGCAGGCUACAUGAUGAAUGUUCAUCGAAUCAAGAUUGUGAAGCUGGACUCUAUUGCCUCGCUUGCCCGCUAGGGUUUCCAGGCACUAGAUGUGUUAGAUCAACCAUCACAGACCAAUUCAAGCUUCUGAACAAUUCUUUGCCUUUCAACAAAUAUGCAUUUUUGGCGACUCACAAUGCCUAUGCUAUUGAUGGAUACCCAUCUCACACUAGAGUUCCUCGAAUCACAUUUACCAAUCAAGAAGACAGCGUCAUGGAUCAGCUAAAUAAUGGAGCUCGAGCCUUGAUGCUUGAUACCUAUGAUUUUCGUGGAGAUGUAUGGUUAUGCCAUUCAUUUAAAGGACAAUGUCAUGACUAUACUGCAUUUGGUCCAGCUAUUGACACUCUAAGGGAAAUCGAAGCUUUCUUAUCUGCACAUCCAGCAGAAAUUGUUACGAUAAUCUUAGAAGAUUAUGUUCGAGCCCCAAAUGGAUUGACCAAGGUCUUCACUGAUGCUGGCUUGAUGAAAUAUUGGUUUCCUGUGACAAACAUGCCUAAAGAUGGUCAAGAUUGGCCAUUAGUUAAUGACAUGGUCCAGAACAACCAAAGGCUACUUGUUUUCACUUCAAUUCAAUCCAAGGAAGCAAGUGAAGGCAUUGCUUACCAAUGGAAUUACAUGGUUGAAAAUCAAUAUGGGAAUAUUGGCAUGAAAGCAGGAAGUUGCACUAAUAGAAAGGAGUCACCUCCUCUUAAUGACAAGAGUAGAUCAUUGGUGUUGGUAAAUUACUUUAGAUGUAUUCCUAUGAAGAAACUCUCUUGUGAAGAUAACUCAAGGAAUCUCAUAAAUAUGCUUCAUACCUGUAAUGGUGCUGCUGCCAAUAGAUGGGCAAAUUUUGUUGCUGUAGAUUAUUACAAGAGAAGUGAAGGAGGAGGAUCAUUUCAAGCCGUGGACCUGCUAAAUGGGAAGCUAUUAUGUGGGUGUGAUGAUAUCCAUGCAUGUGUGGAGGAAUCGCAGGAGGAGUACAACAACAACAAGGGAACGCAAGUCGAGCUUCUACAGCAGACAGGGGGCUACCACACAAAGCCAACAACAAUCAGUGACAGUGAAUCGACCCGUACAACCUACUCAGUCGAGAGCAAGUGCUAAUAGGGGCCGACCCUGGUUCUAAGAAGAGAGGACUCGAAGGCAAGAUAUUUCACAUGACUCACGAAGAUAUGAGGGUGAUGCCAAAUGUUGUAGCAUAGGAAUCGCAAGAGGAGUACAACAACAAUAAGAGAACGCAAGCCGAGCUUCUAUAGCAUGUACUUCCUACUCAUGUGAGUAGUAUUUAGGUCCCCUAGUUUUCUUUUGUAUGAAUUAGGAAUGUAAAAAUUUCCCAUGUAUUUUGUUCUUAAAUGACCAUGUAACUCAGAACAUAAUUGUGUCAUCCUUGUAAUUUUGUAUUUGGAAUACUUGAUUGUAUUAUUUUGUAUUUGGAAUUCAAAUGUUUGUAUGCUUCUCUUAUUUGUUAAAUUAUGUAUGUUAAACGUGAAAGAAAUUGGGUAGAUAAUAUGUCAUAUCUAUGUUUUUGAAUAUAUUGUUGAGUUGGACU
This is an RNA transcript of Populus trichocarpa (black cottonwood), 1737 nucleotides long. It is a transcript of the gene named PI-PLC X domain-containing protein At5g67130, with no coding region annotated. Lineage: Eukaryota; Viridiplantae; Streptophyta; Magnoliopsida; Malpighiales; Salicaceae. The transcript is spliced from 11 exons. The record is from RefSeq and is a predicted model, not a curated record.